RNAcentral lists this ribosomal RNA (256 nucleotides) under uncultured bacterium. Its description in RNAcentral is "partial 16S ribosomal RNA". It matches the Rfam family "Bacterial small subunit ribosomal RNA", at positions 524 to 776 of the family's 1533-position model. The record is from RNAcentral.
UACAGAGGGGGGCAAGCGUUGUUCGGAAUUACUGGGCGUAAAGGGCGCGUAGGCGGCCUUCUAAGUCAGACGUGAAAUCCCCGGGCUCAACCCGGGAACUGCGUCUGAUACUGGAAGGCUUGAAUCCGGGAGAGGGAUGUGGAAUUCCAGGUGUAGCGGUGAAAUGCGUAGAUAUCAGGAGGAACACCAAUUGCGAAGGCAGCUCGCUGGAACGUAACUGACGCUGGAGAACGCGAAAGCGUGGGGAGCAAACAGG